AAAAAUUCAGCACCCAAUAUGAUAAGCUUUCAACUUUUAUUAAGGAUAGUGGUGCUGCAUUUUUUAAUGGGACUUGCAAUGGCUCAACAAAAACAACUGAUAAAAUACUUGUUCAGGGACUAUCAUAAAGAAUUAAGGCCAGUAAAAGACGAGUCAAGUGGUCCAACAAAUGUCACAGUCCAAUUAUAUUUCAAGCAAAUUCAAAAAGUUCACGAAAAUGAUCAAAUAAUCACCCUUUACUGCUGGAUCGAAGAAUAUUGGCAGGAUGAGUUUUUGACAUGGAAUCCAUCAGAUUUCGGGAACAUUAAGUCACUUCAUGUUCCGUCGGAGAUGAUUUGGAAGCCAGAUUUGCUAGUCUAUAAUAACGCCAACAUGAAUAUCAAGGAGAACGAAAUGCAGACUAACGUUCAAAUCGAGCAUACGGGAAAGAUUUCACUUUUUCGAGCAAUAAUCACAGAUAUCACUUGCGACUUACAAAUGGAAAAAUUUCCAUAUGAUCAGCAAAUUUGUUUCAUAAUGUUGGCGUCCUGGUCCUACGAUGGGUCUCAGAUUAUGCUGAACACAGCCGAGCAGCCGACGGAGGCGCCGCUGGAUAUUAAGAAUACAACAAACCUUGCAAUUCUCAACCACUACAUCCCAAAUAUGGAGUGGAAAUUGGUCGAUUUCCGAUAUCGCAACAAUCUCAAGUACUACGAUUGUUGCCCAAACCCGUACCCUGACAUUUCAUACUUUUUCGCGAUUAAACGAAAUCCGAGCUAUUACCUGUUCACGCUGAUCAUACCGUCGGCAUUCAUCACCAUAGUCACAGUGAUCGGAUUUUUCACCCCGCACUCAUCGACCGGAGAGAAUACGGAAAAAGUCAGUCUAGGAGUCACUGCACUGCUCUCACUGGCUAUUAUUUUAAUGAUGGUGUCCGACAAACUACCGGCAACAUCAAAUUCGGUGCCUCUUCUCGGGCAAUAUUACAUUGGACUGAUCUUCAUCAUGUUCUUGGCCACAUAUUGCACCACAUUCACAUUAGGAAUACAGAUGCAGGGAAAUGCGGGUCGCCCGAUAACCCGUCGCCUCCGAUCCUUCCUCCUCUCAAUUCGAAUGAAUCGGAACUCGUUUGUCCAGUGGUUUUUCGGGCGGGAGCUCAUGAAUACCCAGGAGAGCAUCAAGAUGAGACUGAAAAAAUAUCACAACAAGACCGCUUCGCUCAUCGAGCAAGAGUCUAUAGAUAGCUCGAAGCUUCUGGAUCCGGCAAUGUACAAUGUGGUGGUGGAUGUGUUGAGUUCUGUGCAAUCGAUUCGGCAGGAUUUGACGUCACAGGAGCAUUUGAAGAGGAUAAGAAAGGAAUGGCAGAUGCUUGCAAGGUAAUCGCUACGAGACCCAACGCUACGAGACCCUGCGCUACAAAGCCUAUCGCGGUAGAUCAGAAGACCUUUUCUGAAUAUUUAAUCAAUUUUAUUGGGGGGGGGGGGGGGGGAGCAAAAUAAUUUUUUGCACAUGAUCAUCUGAAAAAUGCAAUGACCAAAAAAUUGGUGGCAAAAAUUUAAUUGCAGGGGCUUUUUCAUUUUUUCCUUUUGUGCGUUCCAACGAAUUCUGGCAGGAAAAUUAGAAACUACAAACUACAAACUACAAUAAACUAGUUUUUUUUUCCAAAUUUUCCUGUGUUUUCGAAAAUUACUGUUACGAGUUAAAAACAUCUAAAAAUUAAGAAUUUCGUAUUUCCAUUUUCAGAAAAAUCUUGAAAAAUAGAAAAAAAAAACAUUGCCGAUACUUGCUACAAACUAUAAACUACAAACUACAAACUACAAACUACAAUAAACUAGUUUUUCCCAACUUUCCUGAUUUUUCGAAAAUCACUGAUUUAAAAAAGUUUCAAAAUGAAAUUGGUGAGACCGAUCGUGGUGAGACCCAUCGUGAUGAGACCCAUCGUGGUGAGACCCUUCGUCUCGAGUCCUUUCCCUAAAACACAUGGUGUCAAAAUGUCCCAUUUUGAUUUGAUCUUCGAGAAAUGCGGGAGAUGAGACGCAGACUUUUCAACUGAUUUCGCAUGGUUAAGAGUGUGCUGACGUCACGUUUUUCUGAAUGCUCGAAAAAAUCAUAAUGUGGAUAUUCAUCAUUUCCACAGUCGCAUUUGCGUCCUUCAUGCUCUACGACACCCAGGAUCCGCCGAUUAUCACAAAUGAAGUUAUGCGUUCAAAAUCCACGUGAUAAGUGAAUCUCGACAUAUUCAUUAAUGUACAUAAAUAAAGUAUUGAUUC
This 2249-nucleotide unclassified non-coding RNA is filed under the name Caenorhabditis elegans. RNAcentral describes it as "Non-coding transcript of protein-coding gene acr-17". The record is from RNAcentral. Lineage: Eukaryota; Metazoa; Nematoda; Chromadorea; Rhabditida; Rhabditidae.